This is an RNA transcript of Abrus precatorius (Indian licorice), 1591 nucleotides long. It is a transcript of the gene named serine/threonine-protein kinase AFC3, with no coding region annotated. NCBI's taxonomy places the organism in Eukaryota, Viridiplantae, Streptophyta, Magnoliopsida, Fabales, Fabaceae. The transcript has 11 exons. The record is from RefSeq and is a predicted model, not a curated record.
GAACCCUAACGCUUUUCGUUUUGCAUUCGCACCUCAAACGGGAUUCCUCCGUUUCUCUGCAAUUCAAUUCUCUCCCUUUCCACAGCACCAAUUUUCAGAGCUUAAAUCAAAGAGAUUUUAACCUUCCGUUUCUUAAGAAAAUUUUCCGUCGCAGAUAUGCGCGGGACUGAGGUUGCUUGUUGAUACCUCGAAUUAAAUCACAUGGAAAGAGAGCGAACCCGGAAACGGCGUCGUCUUGCGUGGGACGUAGCUCCUCCACCAGUGCCUGAGGCGCAAAGGGCUCUGGUGGUGGCAGGUGAUGAUGGAAUCGAAAGAAAGCAUGUUUCACCUCCAAGAAGGGAUGACGAUCGCGAUGGCCAUUAUGUCUUUAUUCUCGGCGAAAAUCUCACUCCUAGAUAUAAAAUCCUCAGCAAGAUGGGUGAAGGUUAGCGGUCAAGUGCCUUCUGAAUACAAGAUUUUAAUUUUUAUGUCACUGUGCUUGUGUCAUUCAGCAUAUUGCUAGUGCUGUAGGCACAUUUGGUCGAGUUUUGGAAUGUUGGGACCGCCAAACAAGAGAAUAUGUGGCUAUCAAGGUAGUUAGAAGCAUACGGAAGUAUCGUGAUGCAGCAAUGCUUGAGGUUGACGUGCUUCAACAUCUAGCAAAGAAUGAUAGAGGAAGCUCACGGUGUGUGCAGAUCCGAAAUUGGUUUGAUUACCGAAAUCACAUCUGCAUUGUCUUUGAGAAGCUUGGACCAAGCUUAUUUGAUUUUCUAAAGAGAAAUAAAUACUGCCCAUUCCCUGUGGAUCUUGUUCGGGAAUUUGGACGACAGCUUUUGGAAUCUGUAGCAUAUAUGCAUGAACUACGCCUAAUCCACACUGACCUGAAGCCAGAAAAUAUACUUCUUGUUUCUUCUGAAUAUGUAAAGCUUCCUAGCUAGGGUUUCCUCAGAUGAGACACAGUUCAGGUGCUUGCCCAAGUCUAGUGCUAUUAAGCUGAUUGAUUUUGGUAGUACUGCAUUUGAUAAUCAGAACCAUAGCUCCAUUGUUUCUACAAGGCAUUACAGAGCCCCUGAGAUAAUUCUAGGUCUAGGAUGGUCAUACCCAUGUGACUUAUGGAGUGUUGGAUGUAUUCUCAUUGAACUUUGCUCGGGUGAAGCCUUGUUUCAGACUCAUGAAAACUUGGAGCACCUUGCAAUGAUGGAGAGAGUUUUGGGACCUCUUCCGGAGCACAUGGUUCGAAGGUCCAACAAGGGCGCAGACAAGUAUUUCAAGCGUGGAUCACGACUAAGAUGGCCCGAAGGAGCUGUUUCAAGGGAGAGUAUCAAUGCAGUGAAGAAGCUUGGUCAUCUUAAGGAUAUUGUAUCACGACAUGUGGAGUCCUCAAGGUCCUCUUUCACUGACUUGUUAGAUGGCUUAUUAACAUAUGAUCCGACCAAACGUCUAACAGCUCACCAAGCCCUUGAUCACCCCUUCUUUAGGAAUCCAACUUAAGAAGCCAGAUUGCCCUUCUGGAAUAAUUCCCAUUUUAAAUAGUCAGUUGCACAGGCUAUAACUUUGUUUUAAAUGUAUGUAAUCUAUUAUUAUUUAUUUAUAGCAGUCGUUCAAUCGCCUU